This 1496-nucleotide ribosomal RNA is filed under the name Tigrigobius pallens. Its description in RNAcentral is "partial 16S ribosomal RNA". It matches the Rfam family "Bacterial large subunit ribosomal RNA", at positions 406 to 2597 of the family's 2925-position model. The record is from RNAcentral. Lineage: Eukaryota; Metazoa; Chordata; Actinopteri; Gobiiformes; Gobiidae.
ACCCCACCAGCUAGCCCAACCCAGAUAACCAACAACCCACAUUAAUACCCCUAAAAACAACAACCUGCCCUAAGCCAAACCAUUUUUCCCUCAUAGUACGGGAGACGGAACAGAAGCCAGGCGCUAUAGAAAAAGUACCGCAAGGGAACGCUGAAAGAGAACUGAAAUAACCCAGUAAAGGAUAGAAAAGCAGAGAUAACCCCUCGUACCUUUUGCAUCAUGAUUUAGCAAGCACCCCCAAGCAAAGAGACCUUGAUGUUUGAAACCCCGAAACUAAGCGAGCUACUCCGAGACAGCUUACGUAGAGCAAACCCGUCUCUGUGGCAAAAGAGUGGGAAGAACUCCGAGUAGAGGUGACAGACCUACCGAGCUUAGUUAUAGCUGGUUGCCUGGGAAUUGAAUAGAAGUUCAGCCCUUUGACUCCUUUAACCAACCAAGAGGACUUCUAAACUCUCGGCCCCGAGGACAUCAAUGGAGCUAUUCAAAAGAGGGACAGCUCUUUUGAACAAAGACACAACUUUAUCAGUAGGGUAAGGACUAGAAGAAAUAAGGAUAAUGUCAAGGUGGGCCUAGAGGCAGCCAUCCUACCAGAAAGCGUUAAAGCUCAAGCAUAUUACUCCAGUAAUCCCAGCCAUUUUUUCCUAUCCCCCUAGUUGUACCAAGCUUUCCCAUGCCUGCAUGGGAGAAAAACUGCUACCAUGAGUAAUAAGGGGGGCCACCCCUCCCUCCCAGCCACCGUGUAAUCAGAACAGACCCUGCCUGAAAAUUAACGCCCCCAAUUAAGGAGGGAAGUAGAACAUAAGCCAGAGGGCCCAGAUGUCCCCCUACAACUAAGCGUUGACCCCACACCGGAUGGCCCAAGGAAAGACAUAAAAGGGAAGAAGGAACUCGGCAAACACUAGCCUCGCCUGUUUACCAAAAACAUCGCCUCUUGCAAACCCAGUAUAAGAGGUCCCGCCUGCCCUGUGACAUUAGUUUAACGGCCGCGGUAUUUUGACCGUGCAAAGGUAGCGUAAUCACUUGUCUUUUAAAUGAAGACCCGUAUGAAUGGCAUAACGAGGGCUUAACUGUCUCCUUCCCCCAGUCAAUGAAAUUGAUCUGCCCGUGCAGAAGCGGGCAUGAGUACAUUAGACGAGAAGACCCUAUGGAGCUUAAGGCAUCCGAGCAGUUUAAGUUACUUACCCUCGACAAAAAGGACCAAACCAAAUAAGCCCUGCUCAACUGCCUUUGGUUGGGGCGACCACGGGGAAAAAAGUAACCCCCGAGAAGAAUGUGUAAUACCACCCUUAAACUAGAGCCACAGCUCUACUAGCCAGAACUUCUGACCAAUCAGAUCCGGCAAAGCCGAUCAACGGACCCAGUUACCCUAGGGAUAACAGCGCAAUCCCCUUUUAGAGCCCACAUCGACAAGGGGGUUUACGACCUCGAUGUUGGAUCAGGACAUCCUAUUGGUGCAGCCGCUAUUAAGGGUUCGUUUGUUCAACGAUUAAAGUCCU